RNAcentral lists this ribosomal RNA (109 nucleotides) under Lentimicrobium sp. S6. The record is from RNAcentral. RNAcentral also lists the same sequence under 1 other name. Lineage: Bacteria; Pseudomonadati; Bacteroidota; Bacteroidia; Bacteroidales; Lentimicrobiaceae.
UAUGGUGAUUAUGGCAGCGGGGUACACCUCUUCCCUUUCCGAACAGAGAAGUUAAGACCGCUAGCGCUGAUGGUACUGCCAAUGGUGGGAGAGUAAGUCAUCGCCAUUC